AUACGGAGGGUGCAAGCGUUAAUCGGAAUUACUGGGCGUAAAGGGUACGUAGGCGGUUAAAUAAGUUGGAUGUGAAAGCCCCGGGCUCAACCUGGGAACUGCAUUCAAAACUGUUUGACUAGAGUGUAUGAGAGGUUGGCGGAAUUCCAGGUGUGGCAGUGAAAUGCGUAGAUAUCUGGAGGAACAUCAGUGGCGAAGGCGGCCAACUGGCAUAACACUGACGCUGAGGUACGAAAGCGUGGGGAGCGAACGGGAUUAGAUACCCUAGUAGUCC
This 274-nucleotide ribosomal RNA is filed under the name uncultured bacterium. RNAcentral's name for it is "partial 16S ribosomal RNA". It matches the Rfam family "Bacterial small subunit ribosomal RNA", at positions 523 to 796 of the family's 1533-position model. The record is from RNAcentral.